GAUGAACGCUGGCGGCGUGCCUAAUACAUGCAAGUCGAGCGAACGGACGAGAAGCUUGCUUCUCUGAUGUUAGCGGCGGACGGGUGAGUAACACGUGGAUAACCUACCUAUAAGACUGGGAUAACUUCGGGAAACCGGAGCUAAUACCGGAUAAUAUUUUGAACCGCAUGGUUCAAAAGUGAAAGACGGUCUUGCUGUCACUUAUAGAUGGAUCCGCGCUGCAUUAGCUAGUUGGUAAGGUAACGGCUUACCAAGGCAACGAUGCAUAGCCGACCUGAGAGAGUGAUAGGCCACACUGGAACUGAGACACGGUCCAGACUCCUACGGGAGGCAGCAGUAGGGAAUCUUCCGCAAUGGGCGAAAGCCUGACGGAGCAACGCCGCGUGAGUGAUGGAGGUCUUCGGAUCGUAAAACUCUGUUAUUAGGGAAGAACAUAUGUGUAAGUAACUGUGCACAUCUUGACGGUACCUAAUCAGAAAGCCACGGCUAACUACGUG
This 497-nucleotide ribosomal RNA is filed under the name uncultured bacterium. RNAcentral's name for it is "partial 16S ribosomal RNA". It matches the Rfam family "Bacterial small subunit ribosomal RNA", at positions 28 to 507 of the family's 1533-position model. The record is from RNAcentral.